Molecule: ribosomal RNA, 497 nt
Filed under: uncultured bacterium
Lineage: Bacteria
Description: partial 16S ribosomal RNA
Rfam family: Bacterial small subunit ribosomal RNA
Source: RNAcentral
GAUGAACGCUGGCGGCGUGCCUAAUACAUGCAAGUCCAGCGAACAGACGAGGAGCUUGCUCCUCUGACGUUAGCGGCGGACGGGUGAGUAACACGUGGAUAACCUACCUAUAAGACUGGGAUAACUUCGGGAAACCGGAGCUAAUACCGGAUAAUAUAUUGAACCGCAUGGUUCAAUAGUGAAAGACGGUUUUGCUGUCACUUAUAGAUGGAUCCGCGCCGCAUUAGCUAGUUGGUAAGGUAACGGCUUACCAAGGCGACGAUGCGGAGCCGACCUGAGAGGGUGAUCGGCCACACUGGAACUGAGACACGGUCCAGACUCCUACGGGAGGCAGCAGUAGGGAAUCUUCCGCAAUGGGCGAAAGCCUGACGGAGCAACGCCGCGUGAGUGAUGAAGGUCUUCGGAUCGUAAAACUCUGUUAUUAGGGAAGAACAAAUGUGUAAGUAACUAUGCACGUCUUGACGGUACCUAAUCAGAAAGCCACGGCUAACUACGUG